GAUGAAGAACGCAGCGAAAUGCGAUAAGUAAUGUGAAUUGCAGAAUUCAGUGAAUCAUCGAAUCUUUGAACGCACCUUGCGCUCCUUGGUAUUCCGAGGAGCAUGCCUGUUUGAGUGUCAUGAAAUUCUCAACCUUUUCAGCUUUCUUUGUUGAUCAGGCUUGGAUGUGGGAGUAUCCGGGCUUCUCAGAAGUCGGCUCUCCUGAAAUGCAUUAGCGGGACCUUUGUUGCCUGGCUUUGGUGUGAUAAUUAUCUACGCCAUUGUAGUCAAGCAGCUUAAAAUGAGGUUUCAGCUUCUAACCGUCUCCCCUGAGACAACUUUUUGACAAUUUGACCUCAAAUCAGGUAGGACUACCCGCUGAACUUAAGCAUAUCAAUAAGCGGAGGA
This 387-nucleotide unclassified non-coding RNA is filed under the name soil metagenome. RNAcentral's name for it is "partial contains 5.8S ribosomal RNA, internal transcribed spacer 2, and large subunit ribosomal RNA". The stretch from base 1 to 120 matches the Rfam family "5.8S ribosomal RNA", at positions 35 to 154 of the family's 154-position model. The record is from RNAcentral.